CGAAUGCUGACAUAAGUAACGAUAAAGCGGGUGAAAAGCCCGCUCGCCGGAAGACCAAGGGUUCCUGUCCAACGUUAAUCGGGGCAGGGUGAGUCGACCCCUAAGGCGAGGCCGAAAGGCGUAGUCGAUGGGAAACAGGUUAAUAUUCCUGUACUUGGUGUUACUGCGAAGGGGGGACGGAGAAGGCUAUGUUGGCCGGGCGACGGUUGUCCCGGUUUAAGCGUGUAGGCUGGUUUUCCAGGCAAAUCCGGAAAAUCAAGGCUGAGGCGUGAUGACGAGGCACUACGGUGCUGAAGCAACAAAUGCCCUGCUUCCAGGAAAAGCCUCUAAGCAUCAGGUAACAUCAAAUCGUACCCCAAACCGACACAGGUGGUCAGGUAGAGAAUACCAAGGCGCUUGAGAGAACUCGGGUGAAGGAACUAGGCAAAAUGGUGCCGUAACUUCGGGAGAAGGCACGCUGAUAUGUAGGUGAAGUCCCUCGCGGAUGGAGCUGAAAUCAGUCGAAGAUACCAGCUGGCUGCAACUGUUUAUUAAAAACACAGCACUGUGCAAACACGAAAGUGGACGUAUACGGUGUGACGCCUGCCCGGUGCCGGAAGGUUAAUUGAUGGGGUCAGCGCAAGCGAAGCUCUUGAUCGAAGCCCCGGUAAACGGCGGCCGUAACUAUAACGGUCCUAAGGUAGCGAAAUUCCUUGUCGGGUAAGUUCCGACCUGCACGAAUGGCGUAAUGAUGGCCAGGCUGUCUCCACCCGAGACUCAGUGAAAUUGAACUCGCUGUGAAGAUGCAGUGUACCCGCGGCAAGACGGAAAGACCCCGUGAACCUUUACUAUAGCUUGACACUGAACAUUGAGCCUUGAUGUGUAGGAUAGGUGGGAGGCUUUGAAGUGUGGACGCCAGUCUGCAUGGAGCCGACCUUGAAAUACCACCCUUUAAUGUUUGAUGUUCUAACGUGGACCCGUGAUCCGGGUUGCGGACAGUGUCUGGUGGGUAGUUUGACUGGGGCGGUCUCCUCCUAAAGAGUAACGGAGGAGCACGAAGGUUGGCUAAUCCUGGUCGGACAUCAGGAGGUUAGUGCAAUGGCAUAAGCCAGCUUGACUGCGAGCGUGACGGCGCGAGCAGGUGCGAAAGCAGGUCAUAGUGAUCCGGUGGUUCUGAAUGGAAGGGCCAUCGCUCAACGGAUAAAAGGUACUCCGGGGAUAACAGGCUGAUACCGCCCAAGAGUUCAUAUCGACGGCGGUGUUUGGCACCUCGAUGUCGGCUCAUCACAUCCUGGGGCUGAAGUAGGUCCCAAGGGUAUGGCUGUUCGCCAUUUAAAGUGGUACGCGAGCUGGGUUUAGAACGUCGUGAGACAGUUCGGUCCCUAUCUGCCGUGGGCGCUGGAGAACUGAGGGGGGCUGCUCCUAGUACGAGAGGACCGGAGUGGACGCAUCACUGGUGUUCGGG
RNAcentral lists this ribosomal RNA (1444 nucleotides) under Escherichia coli. RNAcentral's name for it is "partial 23S ribosomal RNA". It matches the Rfam family "Bacterial large subunit ribosomal RNA", at positions 1291 to 2720 of the family's 2925-position model. The record is from RNAcentral. Lineage: Bacteria; Pseudomonadati; Pseudomonadota; Gammaproteobacteria; Enterobacterales; Enterobacteriaceae.